CCUGGUUAUCAAAAACAUGGCCUUUUGAUUUUAAUUUAAGGUCUAACCUGCCCACUGAAUUUGUUUAAAGGGCUGCGGUAAUUUGACCGUGCUAAGGUAGCAUAAUCAUUAGUUUUUUAAUUGAAAGCUGGAAUGAAUGGUUGGAUGAAAAAAUAACUGUCUCUUUUUAAAUUAUUGAAUUUUAUUUUUAAGUAAAAAAGCUUAAAUGAUUUUGAAAGACGAGAAGACCCUAUAGAGUUUUAUAAAUUUAAUUUAAAAUGUUUUAGUAAUUUAAAUUUUUAUAUGAAAAUUUAUUUGAUUGGGGUGAUUGAAAAAUUUAAUAAACUUUUUUUUUAUUGNAACAUAAGUAAGUGAAUAUUUGAUCCAUAAAUUAUGAUUAUAAGAUUAAAUUACCUUAGGGAUAACAGCGUAA
This 412-nucleotide ribosomal RNA is filed under the name Dorcaschema wildii (mulberry borer). RNAcentral's name for it is "partial 16S ribosomal RNA". The stretch from base 1 to 205 matches the Rfam family "Archaeal large subunit ribosomal RNA", at positions 1891 to 2143 of the family's 2987-position model. The record is from RNAcentral. Lineage: Eukaryota; Metazoa; Arthropoda; Insecta; Coleoptera; Cerambycidae.